CCCGCUGAAAUUUAAGCAUAUCAGUAAGCGGAGGAAAAGAAACUAACCAGGAUUCUCUUAGUAACGGCGAGUGAACGGAGAUUAGCCCAGCGCCGAAGCCUAUCUGCAUUUGUAGACAGGGCAAUGUGGCGUUUAGGUGCAAGCCUGGGGACGCUAUUCUACUCGAAGUCCAGCUCCGAUCAUGGCUUGGAUUUGUCCCAUAGAGGGUGAAAGGCCCGUACGAGUAGAAAUUGUGUAUCAUAGUGUCCCUUAGAUGCUUGUGCUUUGGAGUCGGAUUGCUUGAGAAUGCAGUCCAAAGUGGGUGGUAAACUCCAUCCAAGGCUAAAUACUGGCACGAAUCCGAUAGUAGACAAGUACCGCGAGGGAAAGUUGAAAAGUACUCUGAAGAGAGAGUAAAUAGUACGUGAAACCGCUUGUAUAGAAGCUGGUGGAGUCAAGCUUCUUGUUGUACGAAUUGGCCAGUGGAAUGUCUUUCUCGGGUUCAUGGACUUACUGUUUUGCAAAUAAACUGGUGGUUCGCCGUCUCUCUUAAACAGGGCAGCUUAUUUGAGUAUGUCCUGUAUCCGAUUCUCCUAUGCUAUUUCGUAUGACUAAUGUCACAGUCAAUGUACCUCGUAACGCGUGGUAGUUAAACCAUGUUUGGUCAGACCUCGUGUUUGCUCAUCAUGGGACGGCAGGUGGAUACUUGGGCGUUCUGCUCAUAGUGUCGUAAAAUAAGCUAUCGCUUGCUGGCUACCUCGUAUUUGUUAUCAGGUGUAUUGGUCCUUUGGUAGUGGUGUCCUUCGGGUAUCCACUGCAAGAACCUGUGGUAUCGAGGUAGACUUUCCAUCAGACCCGUCUUGAAAACCACGGACCAA
This 857-nucleotide ribosomal RNA is filed under the name Thaparocleidus sp. G1-6. RNAcentral's name for it is "partial large subunit ribosomal RNA". It matches the Rfam family "Eukaryotic large subunit ribosomal RNA", at positions 24 to 669 of the family's 3401-position model. The record is from RNAcentral. Lineage: Eukaryota; Metazoa; Platyhelminthes; Monogenea; Dactylogyridea; Ancylodiscoididae.